CCAGAUUCCUACGGGGGGAGCAGUAGGGAUUCUUCACAAUGGACGAAAGUUUGAUGGAGCAACGCCGCCUGAGUGAAGAAGGUUUUCGGAUCGUAAAACUCUGGUGUUGGAGAAGAAUGUAUCUGAUAGUAACUGAUCAGGUAGUGACGGUAUCCAACCAGAAAGCCACGGCUAACUACGUGCCAGCAGCCGCGGUAAUACGUAGGUGGCAAGCGUUGUCCGGAUUUAUUGGGCGUAAAGCGAGCGCAGGCGGUUUCUUAAGUCUGAUGUGAAAGCCUUCGGCUCAACCGAAGAAGUGCAUCGGAAACUGGGAAACUUGAGUGCAGAAGAGGACAGUGGAACUCCAUGUGUAGCGGUGAAAUGCGUAGAUAUAUGGAAGAACACCAGUGGCGAAGGCGGCUGUCUGGUCUGUAACUGACGCUGAGGCUCGAAAGCAUGGGUAGCAAACAGGAUUAGAUACCCUGGUAGUCCAUGCCGUAAACGAUGAGUGCUAGGUGUUGGAGGGUUUCCGCCCUUCAGUGCCGCAGCUAACGCAUUAAGCACUCCGCCUGGGGAGUACGACCGCAAGGUUGAAACUCAAAGGAAUUGACGGGGGCCCGCACAAGCGGUGGAGCAUGUGGUUUAAUUCGAAGCAACGCGAAGAACCUUACCAGGUCUUGACAUCCUUUGACCACUCUAGAGAUAGAGCUUUCCCUUCGGGGACAAAGUGACAGGUGGUGCAUGGUUGUCGUCAGCUCGUGUCGUGAGAUGUUGGGUUAAGUCCCGCAACGAGCGCAACCCUUAUUACUAGUUGCCAGCAUUUAGUUGGGCACUCUAGUGAGACUGCCGGUGACAAACCGGAGGAAGGUGGGGACGACGUCAAAUCAUCAUGCCCCUUAUGACCUGGGCUACACACGUGCUACAAUGGAUGGUACAACGAGUUGCGAGACCGCGAGGUUUAGCUAAUCUCUUAAAACCAUUCUCAGUUCGGAUUGUAGGCUGCAACUCGCCUACAUGAAGCCGGAAUCGCUAGUAAUCGCGGAUCAGCAUGCCGCGGUGAAUACGUUCCCGGGCCUUGUACACACCGCCCGUCACACCAUGAGAGUUUGUAACACCCAAAGCCGGUGAGGUAACCCUUCGGGGAGCCAGCCGUCUAAG
Molecule: ribosomal RNA, 1137 nt
Filed under: Latilactobacillus sakei
Lineage: Bacteria; Bacillati; Bacillota; Bacilli; Lactobacillales; Lactobacillaceae
Description: bacterial SSU rRNA
Rfam family: Bacterial small subunit ribosomal RNA
Source: RNAcentral